RNAcentral lists this non-coding RNA (31 nucleotides) under Rattus norvegicus (Norway rat). Lineage: Eukaryota; Metazoa; Chordata; Mammalia; Rodentia; Muridae. The record is from RNAcentral.
UUUUGAUGAGUAAUUUACAAAUUAAGGAGUG